Molecule: ribosomal RNA, 344 nt
Filed under: uncultured soil bacterium
Lineage: Bacteria
Description: bacterial SSU rRNA
Rfam family: Bacterial small subunit ribosomal RNA
Source: RNAcentral
AGGACGAACGCUGGCGGCGUGCUUAACACAUGCAAGUCGAGCGGUAAGGCUCCUUCGGGAGUACACGAGCGGCGAACGGGUGAGUAACACGUGAGCAAUCUGCCCUUCUCAUCGGAAUAAGCGUUGGAAACGACGUCUAAUGCCGAAUACGACCUCCUUUCGCAUGAUCGGAGGUGGAAAGCUCCGGCGGAGAAGGAUGAGCUCGCGGCCUAUCAGCUAGUUGGUGUGGGUAAUGGCCCACCAAGGCGACGACGGGUAGCCGGCCUGAGAGGGUGACCGGCCACACUGGGACUGAGACACGGCCCAGACUCCUACGGGAGGCAGCAGUGGGGAAUAGUUGACAA